GGGAAUCUUCGGAUUCUAGUGGCGGACGGGUGAGUAACGCGUAAGAAUCUAACUUCAGGACGGGGACAACAGUUGGAAACGACUGCUAAUACCCGAUGUGCCGAAGGGUGAAACCUAAUUGGCCUGAAGAAGAGCUUGCGUCUGAUUGGCUAGUUGGUGGGGUAAAGGCCUACCAAGGCGACGAUCAGUAGCUGGUCUGAGAGGAUGAGCAGCCACACUGGGACUGAGACACGGCCCAGACUCCUACGGGAGGCAGCAGUGGGGAAUUUUCCGCAAUGGGCGAAAGCCUGACGGAGCAACGCCGCGUGAGGGAGGGAGGUCUUUGGAUUGUAAACCUCUUUUCUCAAGGAAGAAGUUCUGACGGUACUUGAGGAAUCAGCCUCGGCUAACUCCGUGCCAGCAGCCGCGGUAAUACGGGGGAGGCAAGCGUUAUCCGGAAUUAUUGGGCGUAAAGCGUCCGCAGGUGGUCAGCCAAGUCUGCCGUCAAAUCAGGUUGCUUAACGACCUAAAGGCGGUGGAAACUGGCAGACUAGAGAGCAGUAGGGGUAGCAGGAAUUCCCAGUGUAGCGGUGAAAUGCGUAGAGAUUGGGAAGAACAUCGGUGGCGAAAGCGUGCUACUGGGCUGUAUCUGACACUCAGGGACGAAAGCUAGGGGAGCGAAAGGGAUUAGAUACCCCUGUAGUCCUAGCCGUAAACGAUGGAUACUAGGCGUGGCUUGUAUCGACCCGAGCCGUGCCGAAGCUAACGCGUUAAGUAUCCCGCCUGGGGAGUACGCACGCAAGUGUGAAACUCAAAGGAAUUGACGGGGGCCCGCACAAGCGGUGGAGUAUGUGGUUUAAUUCGAUGCAACGCGAAGAACCUUACCAAGACUUGACAUGUCGCGAACCCUGGNGAAAGCUGGGGGUGCCUUCGGGANCGCGAACNC
Molecule: ribosomal RNA, 925 nt
Filed under: uncultured bacterium
Lineage: Bacteria
Description: bacterial SSU rRNA
Rfam family: Bacterial small subunit ribosomal RNA
Source: RNAcentral